AGCGAACGCUGGCGGCAGGCUUAACACAUGCAAGUCGAACGCAUCCUUCGGGGUGAGUGGCAGACGGGUGAGUAACACGUGGGAACGUACCUCUUUGUUCGGAAUAACUCAUGGAAACGUGAGCUAAUACCGGAUACGCCCUUUUGGGGAAAGAUUUAUUGCCGAAAGAUUGGCCCGCGUCUGAUUAGCUAGUUGGUGAGGUAAUGGCUCACCAAGGCGACGAUCAGUAGCUGGUCUGAGAGGAUGAUCAGCCACACUGGGACUGAGACACGGCCCAGACUCCUACGGGAGGCAGCAGUGGGGAAUAUUGGACAAUGGGCGCAAGCCUGAUCCAGCCAUGCCGCGUGAGUGAUGAAGGCCUUAGGGUUGUAAAGCUCUUUUAUCCGGGAAGAUAAUGACUGUACCGGAAGAAUAAGCCCCGGCUAACUUCGUGCCAGCCGCCGCCGUAA
This 449-nucleotide ribosomal RNA is filed under the name uncultured bacterium. RNAcentral's name for it is "partial 16S ribosomal RNA". It matches the Rfam family "Bacterial small subunit ribosomal RNA", at positions 29 to 523 of the family's 1533-position model. The record is from RNAcentral.